GACGAACGCUGGCGGCGUGCUUAACACAUGCAAGUCGAACGGAAAGGCCCUGCUUUUUUGGUGUGCUCGAGUGGCGAACGGGGGAGUAACACGUGAGUAACCUGCCCUUGACUUUGGGAUAACUUCAGGAAACUGGGGCUAAUACCGGAUAGGAGCUCCUGUUGCAUGGUGGGGGUUGGAAAGUUUAGGCGGUUGGGGUUGGACGCGCGGCUUACCAGCUUGUUGGUUGGGGAGUGGCUUACCAAGCCUUUGACGGGUACCCGGCCUGUGAGGGUGACCGGCCACAAUGGGACUGAGAUACGGCCCAGACUCCUACGGGAGGCAGCAGUGGGGAAUAUUGCACAAUGGGCGGAAGCCUGAUGCAGCAACGCCGCGUGCGGGAUGACGGCCUUCGGGUUGUAAACCGCUUUCGCCUGUGACGAAGCGUGAGUGACGGUAAUGGGUAAAGAAGCACCGGCUAACUACGUG
This 468-nucleotide ribosomal RNA is filed under the name uncultured bacterium. RNAcentral describes it as "partial 16S ribosomal RNA". It matches the Rfam family "Bacterial small subunit ribosomal RNA", at positions 28 to 507 of the family's 1533-position model. The record is from RNAcentral.